GGGUUGUGAGGUUAAGCGACUAAGCGUACACGGUGGAUGCCCUGGCAGUCAGAGGCGAUGAAGGACGUGCUAAUCUGCGAUAAGCGUCGGUGAGGUGAUAUGAACCGUUAUAACCGGCGAUUUCCGAAUGGGGAAACCCAGUGUGWUUCGWCACACUAUCAUUAACUGAAUCCAUAGGUUAAUGAGGCGAACCGGGGGAACUGAAACAUCUAAGUACCCCGAGGAAAAGAAAUCAACCGAGAUUCCCCCAGUAGCGGCGAGCGAACGGGGAGGAGCCCAGAGCCUGAAUCAGUGUGUGUGUUAGUGGAAGCGUCUGGAAAGGCGCGCGAUACAGGGUGACAGCCCCGUACACAAAAAUGCACAUAUUGUGAGCUCGAUGAGUAGGGCGGGACACGUGGUAUCCUGUCUGAAUAUGGGGGGACCAUCCUCCAAGGCUAAAUACUCCUGACUGACCGAUAGUGAACCAGUACCGUGAGGGAAAGGCGAAAAGAACCCCGGCGAGGGGAGUGAAAAAGAACCUGAAACCGUGUACGUACAAGCAGUGGGAGCCUCUUAAUGGGGUGACUGCGUACCUUUUGUAUAAUGGGUCAGCGACUUAUAUUCUGUAGCAAGGUUAACCGAAUAGGGGAGCCGAAGGGAAACCGAGUCUUAACUGGGCGUUAAGUUGCAGGGUAUAGACCCGAAACCCGGUGAUCUAGCCAUGGGCAGGUUGAAGGUUGGGUAACACUAACUGGAGGACCGAACCGACUAAUGUUGAAAAAUUAGCGGAUGACUUGUGGCUGGGGGUGAAAGGCCAAUCAAACCGGGAGAUAGCUGGUUCUCCCCGAAAGCUAUUUAGGUAGCGCCUCGUGAAUUCAUCUCCGGGGGUAGAGCACUGUUUCGGCAAGGGGGUCAUCCCGACUUACCAACCCGAUGCAAACUGCGAAUACCGGAGAAUGUUAUCACGGGAGACACACGGCGGGUGCUAACGUCCGUCGUGAAGAGGGAAACAACCCAGACCGCCAGCUAAGGUCCCAAAGUCAUGGUUAAGUGGGAAACGAUGUGGGAAGGCCCAGACAGCCAGGAUGUUGGCUUAGAAGCAGCCAUCAUUUAAAGAAAGCGUAAUAGCUCACUGGUCGAGUCGGCCUGCGCGGAAGAUGUAACGGGGCUAAACCAUGCACCGAAGCUGCGGCAGCGACACUAUGUGUUGUUGGGUAGGGGAGCGUUCUGUAAGCCUGUGAAGGUGGCCUGUGAGGGUUGCUGGAGGUAUCAGAAGUGCGAAUGCUGACAUAAGUAACGAUAAAGCGGGUGAAAAGCCCGCUCGCCGGAAGACCAAGGGUUCCUGUCCAACGUUAAUCGGGGCAGGGUGAGUCGACCCCUAAGGCGAGGCCGAAAGGCGUAGUCGAUGGGAAACAGGUUAAUAUUCCUGUACUUGGUGUUACUGCGAAGGGGGGACGGAGAAGGCUAUGUUGGCCGGGCGACGGUUGUCCCGGUUUAAGCGUGUAGGCUGGUUUUCCAGGCAAAUCCGGAAAAUCAAGGCUGAGGCGUGAUGACGAGGCACUACGGUGCUGAAGCGACAAAUGCCCUGCUUCCAGGAAAAGCCUCUAAGCAUCAGGUAACAUCAAAUCGUACCCCAAACCGACACAGGUGGUCAGGUAGAGAAUACCAAGGCGCUUGAGAGAACUCGGGUGAAGGAACUAGGCAAAAUGGUGCCGUAACUUCGGGAGAAGGCACGCUGAUAUGUAGGUGAAGCGACUUGCUCGUGGAGCUGAAAUCAGUCGAAGAUACCAGCUGGCUGCAACUGUUUAUUAAAAACACAGCACUGUGCAAACACGAAAGUGGACGUAUACGGUGUGACGCCUGCCCGGUGCCGGAAGGUUAAUUGAUGGGGUUAGCGGUAACGCGAAGCUCUUGAUCGAAGCCCCGGUAAACGGCGGCCGUAACUAUAACGGUCCUAAGGUAGCGAAAUUCCUUGUCGGGUAAGUUCCGACCUGCACGAAUGGCGUAAUGAUGGCCAGGCUGUCUCCACCCGAGACUCAGUGAAAUUGAACUCGCUGUGAAGAUGCAGUGUACCCGCGGCAAGACGGAAAGACCCCGUGAACCUUUACUAUAGCUUGACACUGAACAUUGAGCCUUGAUGUGUAGGAUAGGUGGGAGGCUUUGAAGUGUGGACGCCAGUCUGCAUGGAGCCGACCUUGAAAUACCACCCUUUAAUGUUUGAUGUUCUAACGUGGGCCCCUUACCGGGGUUGCGGACAGUGUCUGGUGGGUAGUUUGACUGGGGCGGUCUCCUCCUAAAGAGUAACGGAGGAGCACGAAGGUUGGCUAAUCCUGGUCGGACAUCAGGAGGUUAGUGCAAUGGCAUAAGCCAGCUUGACUGCGAGCGUGACGGCGCGAGCAGGUGCGAAAGCAGGUCAUAGUGAUCCGGUGGUUCUGAAUGGAAGGGCCAUCGCUCAACGGAUAAAAGGUACUCCGGGGAUAACAGGCUGAUACCGCCCAAGAGUUCAUAUCGACGGCGGUGUUUGGCACCUCGAUGUCGGCUCAUCACAUCCUGGGGCUGAAGUAGGUCCCAAGGGUAUGGCUGUUCGCCAUUUAAAGUGGUACGCGAGCUGGGUUUAGAACGUCGUGAGACAGUUCGGUCCCUAUCUGCCGUGGGCGCUGGAGAACUGAGGGGGGCUGCUCCUAGUACGAGAGGACCGGAGUGGACGCAUCACUGGUGUUCGGGUUGUCAUGCCAAUGGCACUGCCCGGUAGCUAAAUGCGGAAGAGAUAAGUGCUGAAAGCAUCUAAGCACGAAACUUGCCCCGAGAUGAGUUCUCCCUGACUCCUUGAGAGUCCUGAAGGAACGUUGAAGACGACGACGUUGAUAGGCCGGGUGUGUAAGCGCAGCGAUGCGUUGAGCUAACCGGUACUAAUGAACCGUGAGGCUUAACCUUACAACGCCGAAG
This 2925-nucleotide ribosomal RNA is filed under the name Escherichia coli. RNAcentral describes it as "23S ribosomal RNA". It matches the Rfam family "Bacterial large subunit ribosomal RNA". Lineage: Bacteria; Pseudomonadati; Pseudomonadota; Gammaproteobacteria; Enterobacterales; Enterobacteriaceae. The record is from RNAcentral.